GUUUAUGACUAUGUCAUAAGAAAGGUUUCAUAGGAGUGGAAGGUGCACAUCGAACAUUUUGCAAGGUUUGUGGAUAGAAGUUGAGUUUGAAAAAAGAGAAGAUGGGAAAUGGCCAAGAUACACAAUCUCUUUCAGAACUUCAGAGAGAAAGAGAAAAAAGAGCAGAGCAGGAAAAAGAAAUCAAAAGACUUGAAG
Long non-coding RNA from Saccostrea cuccullata (small rock oyster), 195 nucleotides. RefSeq lists it as uncharacterized. Lineage: Eukaryota; Metazoa; Mollusca; Bivalvia; Ostreida; Ostreidae. The record is from RefSeq and is a predicted model, not a curated record. The transcript has 3 exons.